Hordeum vulgare subsp. vulgare (domesticated barley) is the source of this 886-nucleotide long non-coding RNA. RefSeq lists it as uncharacterized. Lineage: Eukaryota; Viridiplantae; Streptophyta; Magnoliopsida; Poales; Poaceae. The record is from RefSeq and is a predicted model, not a curated record. The transcript is spliced from 2 exons.
AUAGCCAUGCUUCAUAGUUUUACCGAGAACUGUUUUUUCCGCAGAUGCAUGUGGCUGGAGCAGCUGUGCGACGGAGCUCGUUGAUUGGGGCACAUGCCUGCUUUCUCCAUGGACAUGGAAUGUGUCCGGCCCUUCCCCUUGGCGUAGAGGAGCAGGUGGGAGAACGAAUAGAGGGAGGUGCAUGCACCUGCGGUGCGGUCCGUUUGAGCAUGAAGAACUCAAAGGGAUCGUUCACUCAACAGCUUCUCCCUAGCUCGCCCCCCACCCACCCCAAAAGACUUGAGAAGCCUCCCCGUUACUAGCUCAUACUCUCUCACCGCCCCUUUCCGUGUUGACUCAAAAACAUUCCUCCCCCACCUUCCUCGCGAUCGAGGUCCAAGGUGAAGGUGUCUGUCUCUCUUGAGCCGGCCGGCAGCUCCACGGCUGGUUUUUCUUCCUGAUUUCCUGGUCGAGGCACUCGAAGAAACAACAUGCACAUAUAACAACAGGAGGUCGCUGCUGAAUUCGCUGCUCAUUUUCUGAAACAGCCGCCCCAGGAACGCACCAUGGCUUUCAGGUCGAAGAUGGCGGGGGCGGCGGCCUUCGCAAAGAUGGCCGGGGCCAUGAAGCUCACGGGAGGCCUCAAGGUCGGCGCGGUUGCUGCAGCCGUGGUAGCCGCAACCACGGCUGCGAUUUCCGGGAAGGACACGAACAAAUGCAGCCGCAGUCCGAAAACAAGAUGAUGAUACAUAGAUAUCGAUCCCAACGAAUCGUUGGAAGUGGAGCAGCACGUACUUUGGACAUGUCCAAAUGGACCAACAUAUUAGCUCUUCUGAUGAUCUGAUCACCAUAUCAUUUUGCUUGUGCUUUGUCCGCGGCUGCAGAUUCAGCUAUUACUGGUUGCUUC